Zalophus californianus (California sea lion) is the source of this 707-nucleotide long non-coding RNA. RefSeq lists it as uncharacterized. NCBI's taxonomy places the organism in Eukaryota, Metazoa, Chordata, Mammalia, Carnivora, Otariidae. The transcript is spliced from 4 exons. The record is from RefSeq and is a predicted model, not a curated record.
CCUCAUUCAAGGGAGUUUAGCUAUUAAAAUAUGAACAGAUGGCUUCACCUAUCAGAUGGUUCCUGGCCCUGAGAAGUUCCUCUAGCCUUCCCUCUACGUCCCUCAGAUCUCUCCUCGGUAAAAUACGUAACAUCUUGCACAAAGGCUGUCACAUCACAUCCACUGCAGUCAAAGGAUUCAUUUAGCGGCCCCCUCUCCUACCAGCGCCAACAACAAAGCGUCAGACAACCACGACCAAGAGACCCAGAGGAGUCCCUCGCUGGCCCAUGGAAUUCACAGUCUAGCAGGAGAAACGAACGACUUAACAAGCAGAACUGAAGCUUAGGGAGAUGAAGCUAUAUGUCUAAGGUCAUCAGGCUACGAAGAGAUGCAGCUGGAAUUCAAAUGCAGAUCUGCAAGGCCUAUACUAUUUAUACUUUUCCAUGUUUUCAUCCUAAAAAUGUAAAACAUCAAAAUAGUCACCACAAGGAAGAAGAAAUUUGAGUAUCUAGUACUAAAUAUAUUGAAAAAUUAUUCACAUGCCACACACACAUAACUAAAUACACUUGUUUAGAUCAAAAUUUUUCCAAACUUUCAAAUAGCAAAUAGUAACCUAACUAUCCAUUUCAUCUCCAAAAAAAGAAAAUAAUGGCAAACUAUGUAAAAUUACUAUAAACGGAAAAAGUGGUUUUAAUCCUAAUUGUGAUUAAGACACACAUGUGCACACA